UUUCUUCUCUAUUACACUAUAUCAUUUUAUCCUGGUAGUUUACCAUCUUGGUCAUUUCAUAUAUUUGUAAGCAUUUAUCUUGCUGUGGAUUGAGGGUUCGGGCUAGAAUUUAAUUUGGUGGCUUCUGACCUGUAACUUCUCCUGUUAUGUUGAACUUUGAAAUGCUUUGAAACAAUUUGGCUUGUGAGCUAUAAAUUAAUCGACUUUUUUCGUUCUGGGUAUGAUUACGGAGCCGGGAGGGAAAAUAAAGAAAGAAUCUCAGCACCGAUUAAGCUCAUUUUUACCACCGCUUCCGUUGGUACAGCCAGAGAGGAACUAAAACAUUGUCUCCCGAUCUAUUAUUUCAAGAUGGAAUUGAACUGCUAGGACAAUUUGACUGAUUACGUUCAUCAUUCAAAUGGUAAAAUUCCAUUGCAAAAUGCUGAGCCUAAUUCUAGAAUGCUCUACUUAAUAUUUUCCAAUAAAUGUUGUAUUUGAAAUUUUAAAUUUGAUUAAAAAUGAGGAGUAACCACCACCCUCUUGUUAGAGUUUAAAUGUGAGGUGUGAGAAAGUGGUAAAAAAUUGUGGAAUAAAACUGUUGUGCGGAUAAAUGGUGCAUAAGAUCUUGUGAGGUGCUUGCUUUAGCAGUAUUAUGCUGCAAAUAUAUUGUAUUUGAUAACUUGUAUCAUUGAAUCAGCAUGUUCAAGCUAAUGCUCAUUACGAGCGAAUGUUCACUUCUCUCAUUUAAUGUGGAAUUAGGGUUUACAAAUAGAAUGAAAUAUCUUUAGUUUUUCUAAGUGGUAAUUUGGGCUUGGGUGCAGGUGAGUUUGAGCGAGCAGCAGGACACACAUCAAAAGUAAAAGUGCACACAUAUGGCACACAGUUUGUUAUUACUGGAUUCAACUAUUUGUUUUUGUGCAACUGGUGCUGAAUUUGCAUAUUUUGUAAUGUAUAAAGGUACAGGUGAUUUGGGCGAGCGAUCCAGUUUCACAACGGAGGGGAGGAG
Molecule: unclassified non-coding RNA, 985 nt
Filed under: Primulina sp. 6 JT-2014
Lineage: Eukaryota; Viridiplantae; Streptophyta; Magnoliopsida; Lamiales; Gesneriaceae
Description: partial 166FR
Source: RNAcentral